This 778-nucleotide ribosomal RNA is filed under the name uncultured archaeon. Its description in RNAcentral is "bacterial SSU rRNA". It matches the Rfam family "Archaeal small subunit ribosomal RNA", at positions 21 to 805 of the family's 1478-position model. The record is from RNAcentral.
AGUUACUGCUAUCGAGGUUCGACUAAGCCAUGCGAGUCGAAUGUAGCAAUACAUGGCGUACUGCUCAGUAACACGUGGACAACCUACCCUUAGGACGGGGAUAAACCCGGGAAACUGGGUAUAAUACCCGAUAGAUCUGGGCUGCUGGAAUGCAUUCAGAUUUAAAACUCCGGUGCCUAAGGAUGGGUCUGCGGCCUAUCAGGUUGUAGUGGGUGUAGCGUACCUACUAGCCUACGACGGGUACGGGUUGUGAGAGCAAGAGCCCGGAGAUGGAUUCUGAGACACGAAUCCAGGCCCUACGGGGUGCAGCAGGCGCGAAAACUUUACAAUGCCGGCAACGGCGAUAAGGGGACCUCGAGUGCCAGGUUACAAAUCUGGCUGUCGCGAUGCCUAAAAAGCAUUGCAUAGCAAGGGCCGGGCAAGACCGGUGCCAGCCGCCGCGGUAACACCGGCGGCUCGAGUGGUAACCGUUAUUAUUGGGUCUAAAGGGUCUGUAGCCGGCCGAGUAAGUCUCUUGGGAAAUCCAGCAGCUUAACUGUUGGGCUUUCAGGAGAUACUGCCUGGCUCGAGGCCGGGAGAGGUGAGAGGUACUUCAGGGGUAGGGGUGAAAUCUUGUAAUCCUUGAAGGACCACCAGUGGCGAAGGCGUCUCACCAGAACGGACCUGACGGCAAGGGACGAAAGCUAGGGGCACGAACCGGAUUAGAUACCCGGGUAGUCCUAGCCGUAAACGAUACUCGCUAGGUGUCGGCCACGGUGCGACCGUGGUCGGUGCCGUA